GCCUGGUGGUUCCUACAGUCGGCUCCAAAGUGCUAAACGGUGUAUUUUUGGCAACAGGCGCAUAUUGAUUCUGCAAAGUAAUGCAUGGUAGCUGCCACUGUAGCAGCCUUCCAUAGCCCGGUUACAGAUGGGUUG
This is a small nucleolar RNA of Cyclopterus lumpus (lumpfish), 135 nucleotides long. NCBI's taxonomy places the organism in Eukaryota, Metazoa, Chordata, Actinopteri, Perciformes, Cyclopteridae. The record is from Ensembl.